UCUUCAAGCAGGAGUGGCGAACGGGUGAGUAAUACAUAAGCAAUCUGCCCAUCGGCCUGGGAUAACAGUUGGAAACGACUGCUAAUACCGGAUAGGUGAUGAAGAGGCAUCUCUCGAUCAUUAAAGUUGGGAUACAACACGGAUGGAUGAGCUUAUGGCGUAUUAGCUAGUAGGUGAGGUAACGGCUCACCUAGGCGAUGAUACGUAGCCGACCUGAGAGGGUGACCGGCCACAUUGGGACUGAGACACGGCCCAAACUCC
RNAcentral lists this ribosomal RNA (261 nucleotides) under uncultured Bacillota bacterium. RNAcentral describes it as "uncultured Firmicutes bacterium partial 16S ribosomal RNA". It matches the Rfam family "Bacterial small subunit ribosomal RNA", at positions 82 to 339 of the family's 1533-position model. Lineage: Bacteria; Bacillati; Bacillota. The record is from RNAcentral.